Molecule: long non-coding RNA, 677 nt
Filed under: Gossypium barbadense (sea-island cotton)
Lineage: Eukaryota; Viridiplantae; Streptophyta; Magnoliopsida; Malvales; Malvaceae
Description: long non-coding RNA (GBAR_LNC021589)
Source: RNAcentral
ACAGGUUAAAUUGAAUUUUGAAACGAAAUCCAGGGUUUAAAACGUAAAUAACAAAAAAUGGGUCUUCAGGGACCAAAAUAUAAUGCGCUCAAAGAACGGAGGGCUGAUUUGGAAAAUAUCCUAAGCCCUAUGCGCAGCGUUUUGGUGCGGACUGAAAUGAAACAACAAUAAAAUUACACGGCUAAAUUAAAGUAAAAGAAAAGAAAUAGAGAGGGCCAAAUUACAACGCGUUGCAAAAGCGAAGGGACCGCGCACGCAAAUAACCCUUUUUAAAACGGCGCCGUUUUGGUGCCUAGAAGCUUGCCCGAAACGACGUCAUUUUGGGGGCCUAUAAAAGUCAAGUUUUUAAGAAAAUAAAUUCAUUUGACCUUGUUUUUCAGAAAAAAAUUUUAAAACUCUCUCCCCCUCUCCUCUUUCAACCAAACCUCUGGCCUAAAGUCUGGCCGAUCGCCGCCAAUCUGGCCGCCUGGCACCGCCGCACACGAUGGCUGGCGAAAGUGAAAAAGUCCCUCUCGAAGGUUUCGACCCCUCCGAGUCAUGAUCCGGCCUCAAAGCUUCAAAAAAAUGAAGGAAAUGGGACCAUCGGCCUCUUCAAUGACCGACUGAGCAUCGAAGAAGGAGCCCGACGACAAAGAGGUGGAUCGACUCCCGUAGGCUUCUUUUCUUUUUCUUUUUUU